This 560-nucleotide ribosomal RNA is filed under the name Rhodotorula glutinis. RNAcentral's name for it is "eukaryotic LSU rRNA". It matches the Rfam family "Eukaryotic large subunit ribosomal RNA", at positions 81 to 654 of the family's 3401-position model. The record is from RNAcentral. Lineage: Eukaryota; Fungi; Basidiomycota; Microbotryomycetes; Sporidiobolales; Sporidiobolaceae.
UAGUGCGGCGAGCGAAGCGGGAAGAGCUCAAAUUUAUAAUCUGGCACCUUCGGUGUCCGAGUUGUAAUCUCUAGAAGUGUUUUCCGCGUUGGACCGCACACAAGUCUGUUGGAAUACAGCGGCAUAGUGGUGAAACCCCCGUAUAUGGUGCGGACGCCCAGCGCUUUGUGAUACACUUUCAAUGAGUCGAGUUGUUUGGGAAUGCAGCUCAAAUUGGGUGGUAAAUUCCAUCUAAAGCUAAAUAUUGGCGAGAGACCGAUAGCGAACAAGUACCGUGAGGGAAAGAUGAAAAGCACUUUGGAAAGAGAGUUAACAGUACGUGAAAUUGUUGGAAGGGAAACGCUUGAAGUCAGACUUGCUUGCCGGAGCUUGCUUCGGUUUGCAGGCCAGCAUCAGUUUUCCGGGGUGGAUAAUGACGGUUUGAAGGUAGCAGUCUCGGCUGUGUUAUAGCUUUCCGUUGGAUACAUCCUGGGGGACUGAGGAACGCAGCGUGCUUUUUGCGAAAGACUCGUCUUUUUCACGCUUAGGAUGCUGGUGGAAUGGCUUUAAACGACCCGCUA